This 253-nucleotide ribosomal RNA is filed under the name uncultured bacterium. Its description in RNAcentral is "partial 16S ribosomal RNA". It matches the Rfam family "Bacterial small subunit ribosomal RNA", at positions 524 to 776 of the family's 1533-position model. The record is from RNAcentral.
UACAGAGGUCUCGAGCGUUAGGCGGAAUCACUGGGCUUAAAGCGUGUGUAGGCGGAUUGGUAAGUACCUUGUGAAAUCCCACGGCUUAACCGUGGAACUGCUUGGUAUACUGCCUGUCUUGAGCCAGCUAGGGGCGACCGGAACAAAUGGUGGAGCGGUGAAAUGCGUAGAUAUCAUUUGGAACGCCAAUGGUGAAAACAGGUCGCUGGGGCUGUGAUGACGCUGAGACACGAAAGCCAGGGGAGCAAACGGG